AAGCAAGCCUCCACCACCACCACCAGCGUUGCGUCAAGAACAUAAGGGGUUUCUCAUUAUAAAACAAAAGAAGGUAUAUAGGAGUUAACAAAAGUGGAAAUUUAGUAUUUCACAUAUUGCUAAGAAUAGUUUAAAAAGGCCAGGUGGAAUCAUCCCUUGUGGGAAAAGAACAGAUUUUGGGUAUGAUAAAGAUUUUGAUAGUCGGUAUACUAUUGGGAAAUUAUUGGGUCAUGGCCAAUUUGGUUAUACAUAUGUUGCAAUUGAUAAGUCAAAUGGAGAUCGUGUUGCUGUGAAGAAAAUCGAGAAGAAAAAGGUAUUCUUUUUCAACCAUUUUUUCAUAA
This 341-nucleotide long non-coding RNA is filed under the name Olea europaea subsp. europaea. Lineage: Eukaryota; Viridiplantae; Streptophyta; Magnoliopsida; Lamiales; Oleaceae. The record is from RNAcentral.